This 78-nucleotide non-coding RNA is filed under the name unidentified. RNAcentral describes it as "Candidatus Burkholderia Fluoride sequence". It matches the Rfam family "Fluoride riboswitch aptamer (crcB RNA motif)". The record is from RNAcentral.
UUGUGGAUAGAAAAUGGCAUUCUCCUGUGGUUCUCCCGCUUAACCGCUCCUCGAUGAGCCGAUGAUGCCUACACACAC